Molecule: ribosomal RNA, 253 nt
Filed under: uncultured bacterium
Lineage: Bacteria
Description: partial 16S ribosomal RNA
Rfam family: Bacterial small subunit ribosomal RNA
Source: RNAcentral
UACGAGGGGGGCAAGCGUUGUUCGGAAUUAUUGGGCGUAAAGGGUGCGUAGGCGGUUUGGUAAGUCUUAUGUGAAAUCUCCCGGCUCAACUGGGAGGGUGCGCUACAAACUGUCUGACUAGAGUGCGGGAUGGGAAAGUGGAAUUCCUGGUGUAGCGGUGAAAUGCGUAGAUAUCAGGAGGAACACCGGUGGUGUAGACGGCUUUCUGGACCGUAACUGACGCUGAGACACGAAAGCGUGGGUAGCAAACAGG